AGCGAACGCUGGCGGCAGGCUUAACACAUGCAAGUCGAACGCAUCCUUCGGGGUGAGUGGCAGACGGGUGAGUAACACGUGGGAACGUACCCUUCGAUCUGGGAUAACUUCGGGAAACUGGAGCUAAUACCGGAUACGCCCUUUUGGGGAAAGGUUUACUGUCGAAGGAUCGGCCCGCGUCUGAUUAGCUAGUUGGUGGGGUAACGGCCUACCAAGGCGACGAUCAGUAGCUGGUCUGAGAGGAUGAUCAGCCACACUGGGACUGAGACACGGCCCAGACUCCUACGGGAGGGAGCAGUGGGGAAUAUUGGACAAUGGGCGCAAGCCUGAUCCAGCCAUGCCGCGUGAGUGAUGAAGGCCGUAGGGUUGUAAAGCUCUUUUGUCCGGGACGAUAAUGACGGUACCGGAAGAAUAAGCCCCGGCUAACUUCGUG
Molecule: ribosomal RNA, 433 nt
Filed under: uncultured bacterium
Lineage: Bacteria
Description: partial 16S ribosomal RNA
Rfam family: Bacterial small subunit ribosomal RNA
Source: RNAcentral